UUUUAUGAGAGUUUGAUCCUGGCUCAGGACGAAUGCUGGCGGCGUGCCUAAUACAUGCAAGUCGAACGCUUCUUUUUCCACCGGAGCUUGCUCCACCGGAAAAAGAGGAGUGGCGAACGGGUGAGUAACACGUGGGUAACCUGCCCAUCAGAAGGGGAUAACACUUGGAAACAGGUGCUAAUACCGUAUAACAAUCGAAACCGCAUGGUUUUGAUUUGAAAGGCGCUUUCGGGUGUCGCUGAUGGAUGGACCCGCGGUGCAUUAGCUAGUUGGUGAGGUAACGGCUCACCAAGGCGACGAUGCAUAGCCGACCUGAGAGGGUGAUCGGCCACAUUGGGACUGAGACACGGCCCAAACUCCUACGGGAGGCAGCAGUAGGGAAUCUUCGGCAAUGGACGAAAGUCUGACCGAGCAACGCCGCGUGAGUGAAGAAGGUUUUCGGAUCGUAAAACUCUGUUGUUAGAGAAGAACAAGGAUGAGAGUAACUGUUCAUCCCUUGACGGUAUCUAACCAGAAAGCCACGGCUAACUACGUGCCAGCAGCCGCGGUAAUACGUAGGUGGCAAGCGUUGUCCGGAUUUAUUGGGCGUAAAGCGAGCGCAGGCGGUUUCUUAAGUCUGAUGUGAAAGCCCCCGGCUCAACCGGGGAGGGUCAUUGGAAACUGGGAGACUUGAGUGCAGAAGAGGAGAGUGGAAUUCCAUGUGUAGCGGUGAAAUGCGUAGAUAUAUGGAGGAACACCAGUGGCGAAGGCGGCUCUCUGGUCUGUAACUGACGCUGAGGCUCGAAAGCGUGGGGAGCAAACAGGAUUAGAUACCCUGGUAGUCCACGCCGUAAACGAUGAGUGCUAAGUGUUGGAGGGUUUCCGCCCUUCAGUGCUGCAGCUAACGCAUUAAGCACUCCGCCUGGGGAGUACGACCGCAAGGUUGAAACUCAAAGGAAUUGACGGGGGCCCGCACAAGCGGUGGAGCAUGUGGUUUAAUUCGAAGCAACGCGAAGAACCUUACCAGGUCUUGACAUCCUUUGACCACUCUAGAGAUAGAGCUUCCCCUUCGGGGGCAAAGUGACAGGUGGUGCAUGGUUGUCGUCAGCUCGUGUCGUGAGAUGUUGGGUUAAGUCCCGCAACGAGCGCAACCCUUAUUGUUAGUUGCCAUCAUUUAGUUGGGCACUCUAGCAAGACUGCCGGUGACAAACCGGAGGAAGGUGGGGAUGACGUCAAAUCAUCAUGCCCCUUAUGACCUGGGCUACACACGUGCUACAAUGGGAAGUACAACGAGUCGCAAAGUCGCGAGGCUAAGCUAAUCUCUUAAAGCUUCUCUCAGUUCGGAUUGUAGGCUGCAACUCGCCUACAUGAAGCCGGAAUCGCUAGUAAUCGCGGAUCAGCACGCCGCGGUGAAUACGUUCCCGGGCCUUGUACACACCGCCCGUCACACCACGAGAGUUUGUAACACCCGAAGUCGGUGAGGUAACCUUUUGGAGCCAGCCGCCUAAGGUGGGAUAGAUGAUUGGGGUGAAGUCGUAACAAGGUAGCCGUAUCGGAAGGUGCGGCUGGAUCACCUCCUUU
RNAcentral lists this ribosomal RNA (1560 nucleotides) under Enterococcus hirae. Its description in RNAcentral is "bacterial SSU rRNA". It matches the Rfam family "Bacterial small subunit ribosomal RNA". The record is from RNAcentral. Lineage: Bacteria; Bacillati; Bacillota; Bacilli; Lactobacillales; Enterococcaceae.